Molecule: ribosomal RNA, 440 nt
Filed under: uncultured bacterium
Lineage: Bacteria
Description: partial 16S ribosomal RNA
Rfam family: Bacterial small subunit ribosomal RNA
Source: RNAcentral
CCUACGGGAGGCAGCAGUAGGGAAUAUUGCUCAAUGGGGGAAACCCUGAAGCAGCAACGCCGCGUGAAGGAUGAAGGUUUUCGGAUUGUAAACCCCUUUUGUUAGAGAAGAAAAUGACGGUAUCUAACGAAUAAGCACCGGCUAACUCCGUACCAGCAGCCGCGGUAAUACGGAGGGUGCAAGCGUUAUUCGGAAUCACUGGGCGUAAAGAGCGCGUAGGCGGGAUGGCAAGUCAGAUGUGAAAUCCUAGGGCUUAACCCUAGAACCGCAGUUGAAACUGUUAUUCUAGAGUGUGGGAGAGGUAGGUGGAAUGCUUGGUGUAGCGGUGAAAUGCGUAGAGAUCAAGAGGAACACCGAUGGCGAAGGCGGCCUGCUGGAACAUAACUGACGCUGAGGCGCGAAAGCGUGGGGAGCAAACAGGAUUAGAUACCCCAGUAGUC